CAGCMGCCGCGGUAAUWCGAANGGGGCUAGCGUUGUUCGGAGUUACUGGGCGUAAAGGGCGCGUAGNCGGCGUAUCAAGUUGGGUGUGAAAGCCCUGGGCUCAACCCGGGAUGUGCACUCAAGACUGGUAUGCUAGAGGAUGGGAGAGGAUNGUGGAAUUCCCAGUGUAGAGGUGAAAUUCGUAGAUAUUGGGAAGAACACCGGUGGCGAANNCNGCCAUCUGGACCAUUUCUGACNCUGAGGCGCGAAAGCGUGGGGAGCAAACAGGAUUAGAUACCCUGGUAGUCCACGCCGUAAACGAUNAAUGCUAGACNUCNNGGCUCUUAGAGCUUCGGUGUCGCCGCUAACGCAUUAAGCAUUCCGCCUGGGGAGUACGGCCGCAAGGUUAAAACUCAAAGGAAUUGACNGGGNCCCGCACAAGCGGUGGAGCAUGUGGUUUAAUUCAAAGCAACGCGCAGAACCUUACCAACCCUUGACAUGGGACGUACGGGCUUGAGAGAUCAGGUCCACCAGUUCNGCNNGCGUCCACACAGGUGCUGCAUNNCUGCCGUCAGCUCGUGUCGUGAGAUGUUGGGUUAAGUCCCGCAACGAGCGCAACCCCCAUCUUCAGUUGCCAUCAGGUUAAGCUGGGCACUCUGAAGAAACCNCCGGUGACAAGCCNNAGGAANGCNGGGAUGACNUCAAGUCCUCAUGGCCCUUAUGGGUUGGGCUACACACGUGCUACAAUGGUGGUGACAAUGGGAAGCGAAGGCGCGAGCCGGGGCAAAUCUCAAAAAGCCAUCUCAGUUCGGAUUGCACUCUGCAACUCGGGUGCAUAAAGGUGGAAUCGCUAGUAAUCGUGGAUCAGCAUGCCACGGUGAAUACNUNCCCNNGCCUUGYACACACCGCCCGUC
This 893-nucleotide ribosomal RNA is filed under the name uncultured eubacterium HdEPI5. RNAcentral's name for it is "partial 16S ribosomal RNA". It matches the Rfam family "Bacterial small subunit ribosomal RNA", at positions 509 to 1398 of the family's 1533-position model. The record is from RNAcentral. Lineage: Bacteria; Pseudomonadati; Pseudomonadota; Alphaproteobacteria.